GAUGAAGAACGUAGCGAAAUGCGAUAAUUAAUGUGAAUUGCAGAAUUCCGUGAAUCAUCGAGUCUUUGAACGCACAUUGCGCCUCAUGGCAUUCCGUGAGGCAUGCCCAUCUCAGCGUUAGAAAAUAUUCUCAAAUUUUAGUUUUGUGCUAAAAUUUGGAUCAUGUCAAGGAAGCUAUUACUAUUAUUGUGAUCGCUCUUUGGAAAUUGAUAGGUCUUUGAGUUGCUACUCAUAGAACGUGAUGAAUCUUUCUACGUUCUAUUGUAAUUCACUCUGGUAGUCCUAAAACUUGUAUGCCUGUGGCAUAUCUUGUAAUUUGACCUGAGAUUGGGUAGGGAUACCCGCUGAACUUAAGCAUAUCAAUAAGCGGAGGA
This 374-nucleotide unclassified non-coding RNA is filed under the name soil metagenome. Its description in RNAcentral is "partial contains internal transcribed spacer 2 and large subunit ribosomal RNA". The stretch from base 1 to 120 matches the Rfam family "5.8S ribosomal RNA", at positions 35 to 154 of the family's 154-position model. The record is from RNAcentral.